GGGCAGUGGCCGUUCUGUCCCGUGGGGGAGCAGCCAAGGCGCAUGGUUGGGGCACCGCUAGGGAUGUGGACGAAAAACAGCAGCAGUUGCCGCUCGAUCCGGUGCAAGAGGAAGUGAACGCAUGCCAUGAGACUCGCCGGGCAUGGCUUGCCGCGGAAGAGCCUCACCGCUGUGCCGCGAACAGGCUGUGACCAUGUACGGCGCGAGGCUGCCGCUUGGAAGCGCUUCCGCCGGGCCGAGGGCCACUGCGGUAGCGGGCGCCACCACGGCGAACCAAGGGCUGUAGCCGUCAAACUCGUGGGCGAUGCAGUAGCCAGGAACCGUCGCGCCGAUGGAAUUGCUCCGCUGGGAGCGUGCUGAUAACAUGUU
Molecule: long non-coding RNA, 369 nt
Organism: Triticum urartu
Lineage: Eukaryota; Viridiplantae; Streptophyta; Magnoliopsida; Poales; Poaceae
Source: RefSeq, a predicted model, not a curated record